RNAcentral lists this long non-coding RNA (694 nucleotides) under Anser brachyrhynchus (Pink-footed goose). Its description in RNAcentral is "lncRNA (ENSABRG00000010886.1)". The record is from RNAcentral. Lineage: Eukaryota; Metazoa; Chordata; Aves; Anseriformes; Anatidae.
UCGACACCCAGGGGGUGCUGGUACAGUCUAUGUGGCUUGAACUGCGGUCAAACUGCUCUUUAGUGUUCCUCUGUACCUCAGUCCUUCCCUCCUAACACUCGAGCUAGCAGAGUCAGGAUACCUUAAAGCUCAGGGUAUGUGCCACAGCCCUGAAACCACAGAGCUACUCCAGCUCAGUUUUCUGGCUCACUUGUACUCACCAGAUCCUCAGUGUGCCUCUUCCAGCUGUGUGGCAGACCCCACCAGCUGUGUUAACACUUCAUGAUGUUUUCAGAAGCUCCCAGUUCCAGGGCUGAGGAGUCCUGAGAGAGUGAGAGAGAUGGAAACUUCUACAAUAGGAUCUUUUCGGAUGUGUCAAGUCGAUACUGCAGCUCUCUUGACCUUCCCUUCCAUUUUCUGGGCAGGCAACAGCAUCGUAUCUGUUUGUCCUCAUGAGGAACAAGGCAAGAUAAAGAAGAUGCAGGUAAGCAGUUAUCACAUUCUGCUGGAAGGGACCACAUACUUCCAGAAAAUAGAUCUAGAGUAUAUGACCGUAACAUGCUUUUUGCUGGAUGGACAUGUUACUUAGAAGUUGGAUUAUUGUUCUUUGCCAGUUUUUGCUUUGAUAGGCAUUCCUGGACUCAUUGUAUGAUCUCUAGAAUUUCAGCUCCCACUUCUGAAAUAUGGUAUAUUAUCAGAACAACCUCAAGGAUAA